This 254-nucleotide ribosomal RNA is filed under the name uncultured bacterium. RNAcentral describes it as "partial 16S ribosomal RNA". It matches the Rfam family "Bacterial small subunit ribosomal RNA", at positions 524 to 776 of the family's 1533-position model. The record is from RNAcentral.
UACGUAGGGUGCGAGCGUUGUCCGGAAUUAUUGGGCGUAAAGAGCUCGUAGGCGGCUUGUCGCGUCGACUGUGAAAAACCACGACUCAACCGUGGGACUGCAGUCGAUACGGGCAGGCUAGAGUUCGGUAGGGGAGACUGGAAAUUCCUGGUGUAGCGGUGAAAUGCGCAGAUAUCGGGAGGAACACCGGUGGCGAAGGCGGUUCUCUGGGCCUUACCUGACGCUGAGGAGCGAAAGCGUGGGGAGCGAACAGG